Molecule: ribosomal RNA, 454 nt
Filed under: uncultured bacterium
Lineage: Bacteria
Description: partial 16S ribosomal RNA
Rfam family: Bacterial small subunit ribosomal RNA
Source: RNAcentral
GAUGAACGCUGCCAGAAUGCUUAACACAUGCAAGUCAACUUGAACUUCGGUUUGGGUGGCGGACGGGUGAGUAACGCGUAAAGAACUUGCCUCACAGUUAGGGACAACAUUUGGAAACGAAUGCUAAUACCCGAUAUUAUGAUUUUAGGGCAUCCUAGAAUUAUGAAAGCUAUAUGCGCUGUGAGAGAGCUUUGCGUCCCAUUAGCUAGUUGGAGAGGUAACGGCUCACCAAGGCGAUGAUGGGUAGCCGGCCUGAGAGGGUGAACGGCCACAAGGGGACUGAGACACGGCCCUUACUCCUACGGGAGGCAGCAGUGGGGAAUAUUGGACAAUGGACCAAGAGUCUGAUCCAGCAAUUCUGUGUGCACGAUGAAGUUUUUCGGAAUGUAAAGUGCUUUCAGUUGGGAAGAAAAAAAUGACGAUACCAACAGAAGAAGUGACGGCUAAAUACGUG